Felis catus (domestic cat) is the source of this 1667-nucleotide long non-coding RNA. RefSeq lists it as uncharacterized. The record is from RefSeq and is a predicted model, not a curated record. Lineage: Eukaryota; Metazoa; Chordata; Mammalia; Carnivora; Felidae. The transcript is spliced from 3 exons.
CAAGGCACGCAUUUGCCUACUCAAGGUGCCAAGAAUUCAGGCAACAAAGAAAUCUGCCCAUUCAGCUGAACUGACCCUUUCUCCAACUUCGGUGACAUUCGGGUCCUUUGCGCGAGCCUGUGUGCGUGUGGCCAUUACCUCGACCGCGAAGCAAGCGUUGCACUUCCCUCCCUGCCUGGCCUCUCUCCUGCCACUUUCCUGUUUGGGGAUCCAUCCACCCCCGGCCUGGUCCUGCCUGCCUCUCCCAGGAGGCCCCGGCAUCUUCCUCUGUGACCCCUCUUGCUGGCCACAGCUUCGUCCUGCCUUCCUGCACCUCCUUGGACAUCCCCACCGAAGCAGAGGCCGGUCACCUCUUGUUCCUCUGGAGAAACUCCCAGCUCCAAGUCGAGAUCAGAGGAGUCUUGGAAAGAUAGUGACGUUCAUAACAACUCCUCUCUCCUCUGCCUUGAAGAGUGGCGGCCACGGCUGGUACCCGGCCCUCUGGCCUCUGAGGUCACUGCCUCCCGAGAAGCACAUUCACCCUCAACAAAGCCCCUGCCUGCGGCCGCUCGGCCUCAAGGAUCUCACCCCCUCUGCUACAGAUCUCCCCCGCCAGCCAGGGCAUCGCCAGGAGAAGCAAACUCUCCGGCAGUAGAAAUUGAGAUGUAAACGUUGAUUAUUUUAUUGGGCUUAAUAGGAGAAGAACAACAGCCAGCCGACAGGAUUUGUUGUCAAGGUUAUUUUCAGAACGAGCUUUCACUCCGUAUCGAUUGUGGCAGAUUCGGUGCAGGGUGGGGGGAGGGAUCAGUGUCUUGGCCCUUCUGGAGGGUUCUCGGAGUCAAGGCCUCCUGUCUCCUUGUUUUAUAAUUAAUUCCUUGCUCUUAAAGAAAACAAACAGGAAGAAUCUCCUGAAGCUGGGGGUUUCCCUGAAUGCAAUGUUCUCAGAGGCGUUGCCAGUCUUUCUAGAACAGAUCAGAGCAGCCCUAGGCAGGUGAAUGUGAGCUGAGGUUAAUUUGAGGCCGCUUAAUCCCUCCUAGAGUGGAGACCUGUUUGCAUUUUGAGCAAACUUCCUUCCUGGGCCUCGAGGGGCGGGGUGGAGGGCGGUCACGCUGCCUCCUUCCACCCGGUCCCCCUUUGAUGGGAUUAGCGCAGCUCGCCCAGGACCCAUUUCACCUAAGAGGCUCUGACUGGCGGCCUUUGGCGGGGUCAGCUCAGAAACAUCCCAGGGCCUGAGGGAGAAACAUUUCUUCUCCUUGAAAAAUGAUUUCUCACGGACCAUUGAAAUUCUUUCUCAAUAGGGAUCUUCCAUAAAGGUGCCGCUCUUGGAGAUUAUCAGUCUCUAAAUGAGAUUAUCCUCCUCUCAAAGAAACUGUAGGACGGAAGGUGGAUUCUUUGUGUGUGUGUGUGUGUGUGUGUGUGUGUGUGUUCUUCCUGUUGGAUGUUCAACGUGUGUAUUUGGUUUAUUGGAAUUAAUAGGUGGGAAUUAACAGGUGGGUUAAGACAACGGUCCCCCGUGGAGCCAGCACUGAGUCCUGGAGCAGAUCCUCUUUCGACCCUUGAGCAUGGGAACGGCAUUGGCUUUGUGUGUUUCUCCGCACUGUUUGGAGUCCAAUGUCUUAUUCGAAUCCAUGUGCUGUGAAUAUCAGAGGUCACCGAGCUGGCCCCGGGGGGGAUGUGGGGACUGACUC